Molecule: long non-coding RNA, 2762 nt
Organism: Gasterosteus aculeatus aculeatus (three-spined stickleback)
Lineage: Eukaryota; Metazoa; Chordata; Actinopteri; Perciformes; Gasterosteidae
Source: Ensembl
AUCACAUAGAAUGUAUUCUGCACUUUCUUUCACUUAUGGAAGUCAUCAAAGCCAAUUUCCUCUUGUGGUCAGAUAAGAUCAGUCAAAUGAAAGCUCCCCUGUGGGGCUGGAGGGGGUAAAUAUGUUCACUGAGUACCUCCGGCUCUAACGGCAGCUUCUUCUUUACCUCGCCCUGAGGCCCCCGGCCCGAUCCACCGCCGCUCCGAGCACCGAGCAGCUCCAUGGUAACGCCGGGAGGGGAAGAGACCAAUAAUGCAUGAACCAAGUACAUCACCCUUUGCAUGUGUUAGAUGUGUGAGUUUUACUUACUUACUUUAUUUACCCAAGUGCUGCUGUCCCAUAUCACCAUGGUGCCCCCCUACCCCCCCUCUGCAGGGACCUCAGAGACGGAGCGGAAAAAGCAUAAACACCCGCUGAUCCUGCGCGAUGGUUUUCAAGUGCUUAACAGCUCAAUCUCUCUUAAAAUAAUUACACCUGAGAGGCAGAGAUCCAUCACGACUGCCCCGGUCUGGAAAUUGCCCCUCAGAUGGGCGAAGAGUUUGUGAACAUUUGUGAGCUAUUAUAAUUAGCCUUUCUUUCUCUUGUACACCUCUUCUUUUAGUUCAUAAACCAUCGCUCUGUCGAUGUCGAUGAUGAUGAGGAUGAUGACGGAUGUGGUUGGUGGAUGCGGGAACAGCUUUUCUGAACACCGUGUGUAUGUUUGUGUGCGUAACAAUGGAACUUAGUAUUGGCCUUGUCAACAUUUACUGUAAUAUUAUUAUCAAUGACAUCAGCUCAGCAUUUUAGUAUCUGAACUCAGUAGCAUCUCUGAACUGAACAAACACGACGUAGGAUUUAAUAUCCAUUAACAUAAUAUCCUUCAAAUGCUCAUUCCACAUAUUUUAGCAGCAUUUGAAAAGUGUCCUUUUAAUUCUAAUUCCACAGUCUCCGUUGAAAACUACCAGAAUUGGAUUGUUCGUUUGCUUAAAUAAAGCAGGCGGUUGUGCUCGGCCCCGUUUGUGUGAAAGUGAUUCACACCAGAGCGCACUGCACGCCGUACCUCGUUACAGUGCGACGCGGAUCGAGUUCAUGUUUACCCAGAAAAUAUGGAAUUGCAGACUUCCCCGUAAUAAACUGUUCCAGAAUGCAGACCGCCGGCCUCCUCCUGUAACAUUAUUAUUACCUGCAGGCCUCUGGGACUGAGUCCAUCGUUCUCCCUCGCUGCUUCUCACAAACACACACACACACAAAGUCUUUAAAUAUAGAAUUAAUACAACCACAGUAAAAACGAGUUUAGCCAAAGUUUGGAUAGCCAAUGUCAAGCCCUUUCGAAAUGAAAUAAUCAACGUUUCAACAUUUGCAUGCACAAAGAUCCCUCUGAUUAGGUCUUUUUAAACGCCACAAUGGUUUUUAUAAAGUUCCAACAGAUUCUGGCAAUUGUUGCACCGGCCAAUCAAAAGUGACUCAAUGAGAAAAACAGAAGACUAGAAGACACCACCUGAACCUUCAGACCAUAGAACUCUGGUGGUAAAAACUACCAGGUGAUAAAUAACUGAACGCCAUCAAUGGUGGAUUCUUUGCACUUUUUUCACGUUACUUAAAUGAACAUUAAAAAAAAAAGUGUAGUAUGUUCCAUCAACUGACUUAUAUAAAACAUAUUAUGAUAUAUUACAAAACCUAAAUGGACCCAUCUAACUCCUCCCUCUCAGGGGAUUAUACACAAAAUAAAACCCGACCACUCUAUUUUAUAUUACAUUUCCUGCAAUAGAUCCACAUGAGUGCUUCGUAAUGGAAACUUUAUUCAUUGGAAUCAGAGGAAAUCUGUGGUGGUUUCUUGUUUUUUGUCUCUUGUUUACGUCAAGCCACAAUCAUCAGUCAACUAACUAUCCAUUGAAGAUGAAGAUGAAGUUCACACACACACACACACACACACACACACACACACACACACACACACAGACACUACGAGCCGUAUAUAAUUGACCUUGUGAGAGACGUCUCAUACAUGUCAGCCAAGCCACGACAGGUGAGCGUGGUCACCAACAGUCGGCUUCCGUGUGGAGGAAUAAACCAGGUGGACGUGGUUUCGUAUUUGUUGAAGAAGUUGUAUAACUUUUAAUGUUUGUGCUGCUUAUCGUGUAAUGGGGGGCGGGUACAUUCUUGACCUCAUUCCUGAAUAAAAAGCCUUUUGCCGAUGUAUGGGUUUUCCAUCGCAGUGAUGUUUCUUAAACACAGGUUUAAGGUUUCACCCAGGCAGCUCCAGAAGAAUGUUAAUAUUCAGGUCAGAUUAAAAAAAAAAUAACUCCCCGUUUCCGGCCACGGCAGUAAUUCUUACGCCACAGAGUAACCCUGGAUGCCCCAGAUGAGGCUGAGGUUGGCUGACGUCGCUCACAUUCAUGAUUGCCUUCUGUAACAUGUCUUUAAAAGACCAUUUGGGACGGAAUCAUUUUAUGCUGGAUUAUUUUUACAUUCUACUUUGUCGUGUUUGAGCGCUAUCUGUAGCUGGCUUCUUCAUUUUUCCCUCCUUUUCACAAAUACGUACUGGUUUCUGCGCAGCUCUCACUGUAGUAAAAGUGGGCAUCUGGCUCCAAGUCUGCCCGGUUUAAUAUGAGGAGACAAAUUGCAUUACCUCAGUCCCGAUAGCCGUGUAAAUAGUCAAAGAUAGCCAUCAUGUCAUUACUGGGACUUUCCUUUGUGAAGUUAGUGCACUGCUGGUAACUCGUGGUCCAAUGCAGAAAAAACUACUCCAAAUAAGUACGGUUGGAAAAACAGGGAAUUUUACU